Molecule: ribosomal RNA, 497 nt
Filed under: uncultured bacterium
Lineage: Bacteria
Description: partial 16S ribosomal RNA
Rfam family: Bacterial small subunit ribosomal RNA
Source: RNAcentral
GAUGAACGCUGGCGGCGUGCCUAAUACAUGCAAGUCGAGCGAACAGACGAGGAGCUUGCUCCUCUGACGUUAGCGGCGGACGGGUGAGUCACACGUGGAUACCCUACCUAUAAGACUGGGAUAACUUCGGGAAACCGGAGCUAAUACCGGAUGAUAUACUGAACCGCAUGGUUCAAUAGUGAAAGACGGUUUUGCUGUCACUUCUAGCUGGAUCCGCGCCGCAUUAGCUAGUUGGUAAGGUAACGGCUUACCACGGCAACGAUGCGUAGCCGACCUGAGAGGGUGAUCGGCCACACUGGAGCGGAGACGCGGUCCAUGCUCCUACGGGAGGCAGCAGUAGGGAACCGUCCGCAGAAGGCGAAAGCCUGGCGGAGCGAGCCGGCGUGAGUGAUGAAGGUCUUCGGAGCGUGAAGCUCUGUUAUGGGGUAAGAACAAAUGUGGAAGUAACUAUGCACGUCUUGACGGUACCGAAUCAAAAAGCCACGGCUAACUAUGUG